AUAUUAGCGGCGGACGGGUGAGUAACACGUGGGUAACCUGCCUGUAAGACUGGGAUAACUCCGGGAAACCGGAGCUAAUACCGGAUAGUUCCUUGAACCGCAUGGUUCAAGGAUGAAAGACGGUUUCGGCUGUCACUUACAGAUGGACCCGCGGCGCAUUAGCUAGUUGGUGGGGUAAUGGCUCACCAAGGCGACGAUGCGUAGCCGACCUGAGAGGGUGAUCGGCCACACUGGGACUGAGACACGGCCCAGACUCCUACGGGAGGCAGCAGUAGGGAAUCUUCCGCAAUGGACGAAAGUCUGACGGAGCAACGCCGCGUGAGUGAUGAAGGUUUUCGGAUCGUAAAGCUCUGUUGUUAGGGAAGAACAAGUGCGAGAGUAACUGCUCGCACCUUGACGGUACCUAACCAGAAAGCCACGGCUAACUACGUGCCAGCAGCCGCGGUAAUACGUAGGUGGCAAGCGUUGUCCGGAAUUAUUGGGCGUAAAGGGCUCGCAGGCGGUUUCUUAAGUCUGAUGUGAAAGCCCCCGGCUCAACCGGGGAGGGUCAUUGGAAACUGGGAAACUUGAGUGCAGAAGAGGAGAGUGGAAUUCCACGUGUAGCGGUGAAAUGCGUAGAGAUGUGGAGGAACACCAGUGGCGAAGGCGACUCUCUGGUCUGUAACUGACGCUGAGGAGCGAAAGCGUGGGGAGCGAACAGGAUUAGAUACCCUGGUAGUCCACGCCGUAAACGAUGAGUGCUAAGUGUUAGGGGGUUUCCGCCCCUUAGUGCUGCAGCUAACGCAUUAAGCACUCCGCCUGGGGAGUACGG
This 811-nucleotide ribosomal RNA is filed under the name Bacillus safensis. RNAcentral describes it as "bacterial SSU rRNA". It matches the Rfam family "Bacterial small subunit ribosomal RNA", at positions 89 to 885 of the family's 1533-position model. Lineage: Bacteria; Bacillati; Bacillota; Bacilli; Caryophanales; Bacillaceae. The record is from RNAcentral.